UCGAACGAACCUUUCGGGGUUAGUGGCGGACGGGUGAGUAACACGUGCGAACGUGCCUUUAGGUUCGGAAUAACUCAGGGAAACUUGUGCUAAUACCGAAUGUGCCCUUCGGGGGAAAGAUUUAUCGCCUUUAGAGCGGCCCGCGUCUGAUUAGCUAGUUGGUUGAGGUAAUGGCUCACCAAGGCGACGAUCAGUAGCUGGUCUGAGAGGAUGAUCAGCCACAUUGGGACUGAGACACGGCCCAAACUCCUACGGGAGGCAGCAGUGGGGAAUCUUGCGCAAUGGGCGAAAGCCUGACGCAGCCAUGCCGCGUGAAUGAUGAAGGUCUUAGGAUUGUAAAAUUCUUUCACCGGGGACGAUAAUGACGGUACCCGGAGAAGAAGCCCCGGCUAACUUCGUGCCAGCAGCCGCGGUAAUACGAAGGGGGCUAGCGUUGCUCGGAAUUACUGGGCGUAAAGGGAGCGUAGGCGGACAUUUAAGUCAGGGGUGAAAUCCCGGGGCUCAACCUCGGAAUUGCCUUUGAUACUGGGUGUCUUGAGUAUGAGAGAGGUGUGUGGAACUCCGAGUGUAGAGGUGAAAUUCGUAGAUAUUCGGAAGAACACCAGUGGCGAAGGCGACACACUGGCUCAUUACUGACGCUGAGGCUCGAAAGCGUGGGGAGCAAACAGGAUUAGAUACCCUGGUAGUCCACGCCGUAAACGAUGAUUGCUA
This 711-nucleotide ribosomal RNA is filed under the name Brevundimonas sp. 3T21. Its description in RNAcentral is "bacterial SSU rRNA". It matches the Rfam family "Bacterial small subunit ribosomal RNA", at positions 62 to 818 of the family's 1533-position model. Lineage: Bacteria; Pseudomonadati; Pseudomonadota; Alphaproteobacteria; Caulobacterales; Caulobacteraceae. The record is from RNAcentral.